Sparus aurata (gilthead seabream) is the source of this 2475-nucleotide long non-coding RNA. The record is from Ensembl. Lineage: Eukaryota; Metazoa; Chordata; Actinopteri; Spariformes; Sparidae.
ACUAAUAUCUGACCUGUUCAUCAUGAUGAAGCUGAUCCUUUCUCUGACUCUCAUCUGGGCACUCUCCAGCACAGCUGGAGCACUUGAGUGUCAAACUUGCACCAAUACACAGUGUUCAAGCCAGGCGCCUGUGACAUGCGCUUCAGAGACGAUGUGUAUAACAGCUAAUAUUCAAGGUAUUCAUUUCUUUACGUCAUCUAUUCUAAUUCAGUGAAAUAUACUGUAUGUAGUGUUGUGAGUCCAACAUUAACAAACUAACCUUUGAUUUUGUAGCCAAUUCAUCUGGAGUGACAGUGCCACAGAUCUUCAAGGGAUGUGCAUCUUCCUCACUGUGUCCAGCCACAGGCCCUCAGACAUUUUCAGUCAACUUGGGUGCUUCCGGUGCAGUUACAUCUGCUGAAUGCUGCAACACAGAUAACUGUAACGCAGCAACUCUACCUGGUAAGUAUAGACAGAAUAUAAAAUAAAAUAUAUUAACAAAUAGAACACUGGCAUCUUCUAAGAUGUUUGAUUUUCAUCAUGAAACACUUUAAUGUUUUCUUUUCUUCGAGUGAAUGAUUUUGUUCUUUUGUCUUUCAGCUCCCGCGACUCCGACAGCCAACAGCCUACAGUGUAACUCUUGUACCAACCAACUAUGCAACACUGCGAUAACAUGCAGGGGAAACGAGGACCGAUGCUUUCAAGCGAGUUUGACAAAUUCAGGCACCACUUCUCCAGCCUUUGGCUGUACAUCUUCAAACAUAUGUACAGCUGCUCCAGCCCUGGGUAGCCUACCUUUCAUGGGAAGUGUUGGGACACUCAACAGUGGACCGACCUGUUGUGGGACCAGUUUGUGUAAUGCUAUCAUGGCAACAACAACGACUGCUGCCCCCACAACCACGACAACUGCUGCCCCCACAACCACAACAACUGCUGCCCCCACAACCACAACUACUGCAGCCCCGACAACCACAACAACUGCUGCCCCCACAACCACAACUACUGCAGCCCCGACAACCACAACAACUGCUGCCCCGACUACCACAACAACUGCUGCCCCCACAACCACAACAACUGCUGCCCCGACAACCACAACAACUGCUGCCCCGACUACCACAACAACUGCAGCCCCCACAACCACAACAACCGCUGCCCCGACUACCACAACAACUGCUGCCCCCACAACCACAACAACUGCUGCCCCGACAACCACAACAACUGCUGCCCCGACUACCACAACAACUUCUGCCCCCACAACCACGACGACUGCUGCCCCGACUACCACAACAACUGCUGCCCCGACUACCACAACAACUGCUGCCCCCCACAACCACAACAACUGCUGCCCCGCCUACCACAACAACUGCUGCCCCAACUGCUGCCCCAACAACUGCUGCCCCUGCAACUGCUGCCCCAACGACAGCUGCCCCUGCAACUGCUGCCCCAACGACUGCUGCCCCAGCAACUGCUGCCCCAACGACUGCUGCCCCUGCAACUGCUGCCCCAACGACUGUUGCCCCCGCAACUGCUGCCCCAACGACUGCUGCCCCCGCAACUGCUGCCCCAACAACAGCUGCCCCAGCAACUGCUGCCCCAACGACUGCUGCCCCUGCAACUGCUGCACCUGCAACUGCUGCUCCCGCAACUGCUGCCCCAACGACUGCUGCCCCCGCAACUGCUGCCCCAACAACAGCUGCCCCCGCAACUGCUGCCCCAACGACUGCUGCCCCUGCAACUGCUGCACCUGCAACUGCUGCUCCCGCAACUGCUGCCCCAACAACAGCUGCCCCUGCAACUGCUGCCCCAACGACUGCUGCCCCUGCAACUGCUGCCCCAACCACUACUGCCAGUGAUGCCUGCUGUAUCAGAUUAGGUAUGAUCCAUCUUCUCCUUGGACUCCUUAUCUUUACCCUGUGUUAGAACAGGGUAACAGGGAUGCUCCACCUAUGAAGCCACCAGGACUCUGCAAUGGUGAUGCCUGGAACUGUGUUACUGCGUGAUGCUGUGUUUAGUUGGCAGUUGGAAAACAUCUUUUUUCUUUGUCUCUGUCAUUUGGACAACAAUUUUAUGUCACAGUAUACAUCUUGAAAAGGACAAGCAACAUUAGCUGUGUGGUGAAUAAUGACGAUGAUUUCUCAGCACUGAGCAGUUACCUGAAGUGAAGCACACGUCUCAACAAUGGUGUAACAAGUCUUCUGUAAUGUAUUUAAUUUCAAUGCAUGUGGCUGUUGUCACCUAUGAUAUAUUCGCAUUAAUUUAUCCUUUCUUUAAUUAUAUUUUAUUUAAAUAUUCUAACAAAUUAUGUACAUCUUUUGCAUUGUAUUCUUUGAUUCAUUACUUCCCUUCAAGUGAUGAAUCCUAGGGCAGUAUUUUAGUGGAAUGUAUUAAGGUCUACUGUAAUGUUUAUUCUAACCUGUUUUAAUAAAGCUUUUCUCAAAUGAGACAACAGCAGUUGUGUUUUACUCUAAAAGACAAAGAAAUAAAGAAUCAAUUAAG